GCUACGGGAGGCAGCAGUGAGGAAUAUUGGUCAAUGGACGAGAGUCUGAACCAGCCAAGUAGCGUGAAGGAUGACUGCCCUAUGGGUUGUAAACUUCUUUUAUAAAGGAAUAAAACGAGGCACGUGUGCCUUUUUGCAUGUACUUUAUGAAUAAGGAUCGGCUAACUCCGUGCCAGCAGCCGCGGUAAUACGGAGGAUCCGAGCGUUAUCCGGAUUUAUUGGGUUUAAAGUGAGCGUAGAUGGGUUGUUAAGUCAGUUGUGAAAGUUUGCGGCUCAACCGUAAAAUUGCAAUUGAUACUGGCAGUCUUGAGUACAUUUGAGGUAGGCGGAAUUCGUGGUGUAGCGGUGAAAUGCUUAGAUAUCACGAAGAACCCCGAUUGCGAAGGCAGCUUACUAAACUGUGACUGACAUUGAUGCUCGAAAGUGUGGGUAUCAAACAGGAUUAGAUACCCGUGUAGUC
This 460-nucleotide ribosomal RNA is filed under the name uncultured bacterium. RNAcentral describes it as "partial 16S ribosomal RNA". It matches the Rfam family "Bacterial small subunit ribosomal RNA", at positions 338 to 795 of the family's 1533-position model. The record is from RNAcentral.